GGUUAAGCGACUAAGCGUACACGGUGGAUGCCCCCGGCAGUCAGAGGCGAUGAAGGACGUGCUAAUCUGCGAAAAGCGUCGGUAAGGUGAUAUGAACCGUUAUAACCGGCGAUGUCCGAAUGGGGAAACCCAGUGCAAUUCGUUGCACUAUCGUUAACUGAAUACAUAGGUUAACGAGGCGAACCGGGGAACUGAAACAUCUAAGUACCCCGAGGAAAAGAAAUCAACCGAGAUUCCCCAGUAGCGGCGAGCGAACGGGGAGCAGCCCAGAGUCUGAAUCAGCUUGUGUGUUAGUGGAACGGUCUGGAAAGUCCGACGGUACAGGGUGAUAGUCCCGUACACCAAAAUGCACAGGCUGUGAACUCGAAGAGUAGGGCGGGACACGUGGUAUCCUGUCUGAAUAUGGGGGACCAUCCUCCAAGGCUAAAUACUCCUGACUGACCGAUAGUGAACCAGUACCGUGAGGGAAAGGCGAAAAGAACCCCGGCGAGGGAGUGAAAAAGAACCUGAAACCGUGUACGUACAAGCAGUGGGAGCACCUUCGGGUGUGACUGCGUACCUUUGUAUAAUGGGUCAGCGACUUAUAUUCUGUAGCAAGGUUAACCGUAUAGGGGAGCCGUAGGGAAACCGAGUCUUAACUGGGCGUUAAGUUGCAGGGUAUAGACCCGAAACCCGGUGAUCUAGCCAUGGGCAGGUUGAAGGUUGGGUAACACUAACUGGAGGACCGAACCGACUAAUGUUGAAAAAUUAGCGGAUGACUUGUGGCUGGGGUGAAAGGCCAAUCAAACCGGGAGAUAGCUGGUUCUCCCCGAAAGCUAUUUAGGUAGCGCCUCGUGAACUCAUCUUCGGGGUAGAGCACUGUUUCGGCUAGGGGUCAUCCCGACUUCACCAACCCGAUGCAAACUACGAAUACCGAAGAAUGUUAUCACGGGAGACACACGGCGGGUGCUAACGUCCGUCGUGAAGAGGGAAACAACCCAGACCGCCAGCUAAGGUCCCAAAGUCAUGGUUAAGUGGGAAACGAUGUGGGAAGGCACAGACAGCCAGGAUGUUGGCUUAGAAGCAGCCAUCAUUUAAAGAAAGCGUAAUAGCUCACUGGUCGAGUCGGCCUGCGCGGAAGAUGUAACGGGGCUAAACCAUGCACCGAAGCUGCGGCAGCGACACUAUGUGUUGUUGGGUAGGGGAGCGUUCUGUAAGCCUGCGAAGGUGUGCUGUGAGGCAUGCUGGAGGUAUCAGAAGUGCGAAUGCUGACAUAAGUAACGAUAAAGCGGGUGAAAAGCCCGCUCGCCGGAAGACCAAGGGUUCCUGUCCAACGUUAAUCGGGGCAGGGUGAGUCGACCCUAAGGCGAGGCCGAAAGGCGUAGUCGAUGGGAAACAGGUUAAUAUUCCUGUACUUGGUGUUACUGCGAAGGGGGACGGAGAAGGCUAUGUUAGCCGGGCGACGGUUGUCCCGGUUUAAGCAUGUAGGCUGAUUGUCCAGGCAAAUCCGGAUAAUCAAGGCUGAGGUGUGAUGACGAGGCACUACGGUGCUGAAGUAACAAAUGCCCUGCUUCCAGGAAAAGCCUCUAAGCAUCAGGUAACAUCAAAUCGUACCCCAAACCGACACAGGUGGUCAGGUAGAGAAUACCAAGGCGCUUGAGAGAACUCGGGUGAAGGAACUAGGCAAAAUGGUGCCGUAACUUCGGGAGAAGGCACGCUGGUGUGUAGGUGAAGUCCCUGCGGAUGGAGCUGAGACCAGUCGAAGAUACCAGCUGGCUGCAACUGUUUAUUAAAAACACAGCACUGUGCAAACACGAAAGUGGACGUAUACGGUGUGACGCCUGCCCGGUGCCGGAAGGUUAAUUGAUGGGGUUAUCCGUAAGGAGAAGCUCUUGAUCGAAGCCCCGGUAAACGGCGGCCGUAACUAUAACGGUCCUAAGGUAGCGAAAUUCCUUGUCGGGUAAGUUCCGACCUGCACGAAUGGCGUAAUGAUGGCCGGGCUGUCUCCACCCGAGACUCAGUGAAAUUGAACUCGCUGUGAAGAUGCAGUGUACCCGCGGCAAGACGGAAAGACCCCGUGAACCUUUACUAUAGCUUGACACUGAACAUUGAGCCUUGAUGUGUAGGAUAGGUGGGAGGCUUUGAAGCGUGGACGCCAGUCUGCGUGGAGCCAACCUUGAAAUACCACCCUUUAAUGUUUGAUGUUCUAACGUUGGCCCCUGACCGGGGUUGCGGACAGUGUCUGGUGGGUAGUUUGACUGGGGCGGUCUCCUCCCAAAGCGUAACGGAGGAGCACGAAGGUUAGCUAAUCCUGGUCGGACAUCAGGAGGUUAGUGCAAUGGCAUAAGCUAGCUUGACUGCGAGCGUGACGGCGCGAGCAGGUGCGAAAGCAGGUCAUAGUGAUCCGGUGGUUCUGAAUGGAAGGGCCAUCGCUCAACGGAUAAAAGGUACUCCGGGGAUAACAGGCUGAUACCGCCCAAGAGUUCAUAUCGACGGCGGUGUUUGGCACCUCGAUGUCGGCUCAUCACAUCCUGGGGCUGAAGUAGGUCCCAAGGGUAUGGCUGUUCGCCAUUUAAAGUGGUACGCGAGCUGGGUUUAGAACGUCGUGAGACAGUUCGGUCCCUAUCUGCCGUGGGCGCUGGAGAAUUGAGGGGGCUGCUCCUAGUACGAGAGGACCGGAGUGGACGCAUCACUGGUGUUCGGGUUGUCAUGCCAAUGGCACUGCCCGGUAGCUAAAUGCGGAAGAGAUAAGUGCUGAAAGCAUCUAAGCACGAAACUUGCCCCGAGAUGAGUUCUCCCUGAGACUUUAAGUCUCCUGAAGGAACGUUAAAGACGAUGACGUUGAUAGGCCGGGUGUGUAAGCGCAGCGAUGCGUUGAGCUAACCGGUACUAAUGAACCGUGAGGCUUAACCUU
RNAcentral lists this ribosomal RNA (2893 nucleotides) under Klebsiella pneumoniae. RNAcentral describes it as "23S ribosomal RNA". It matches the Rfam family "Bacterial large subunit ribosomal RNA". The record is from RNAcentral. Lineage: Bacteria; Pseudomonadati; Pseudomonadota; Gammaproteobacteria; Enterobacterales; Enterobacteriaceae.